RNAcentral lists this ribosomal RNA (484 nucleotides) under uncultured bacterium. RNAcentral describes it as "bacterial SSU rRNA". It matches the Rfam family "Bacterial small subunit ribosomal RNA", at positions 28 to 507 of the family's 1533-position model. The record is from RNAcentral.
GAUGAACGCUAGCGGCAGGCCUAACACAUGCAAGUCGAGGGGUAACAGGAGAGCUUGCUCUCGCUGACGACCGGCGCACGGGUGCGUAACGCGUAUACAAUUUACCUUAUACUGGAGGAUAGCCCGGAGAAAUCCGGAUUAAUACUCCAUAACAUUACAGAAUCGCAUGAUUCCAUAAUUAAAGUUUCGGCGGUAUAAGAUGAGUAUGCGUCCUAUUAGUUAGUUGGUAAGGUAACGGCUUACCAAGACAGCGAUAGGUAGGGGGCCUGAGAGGGUUAUCCCCCACACUGGUACUGAGACACGGACCAGACUCCUACGGGAGGCAGCAGUGAGGAAUAUUGGACAAUGGAGGCAACUCUGAUCCAGCCAUGCCGCGUGAAGGAAGAAUGUCCUACGGAUUGUAAACUUCUUUUAUUUGGGAAGAAACUUCUCUACGUGUAGAGAACCGACGGUACCAAACGAAUAAGGACCGGCUAACUCCGUG